UGCCGCGUGCGGGAAGAAGGCCUUCGGGUUGUAAACCGCUUUUGUCAGGGAAGAAAUCUUCUGGGCUAAUACCUCGGGAGGAUGACGGUACCUGAAGAAUAAGCACCGGCUAACUACGUGCCAGCAGCCGCGGUAAUACGUAGGGUGCGAGCGUUAAUCGGAAUUACUGGGCGUAAAGCGUGCGCAGGCGGUCUUGCAAGACAGGUGUGAAAUCCCCGGGCUUAACCUGGGAACUGCACUUGUGACUGCAAGGCUGGAGUACGGCAGAGGGGGAUGGAAUUCCGCGUGUAGCAGUGAAAUGCGUAGAUAUGCGGAGGAACACCGAUGGCGAAGGCAAUCCCCUGGGCCUGUACUGACGCUCAUGCACGAAAGCGUGGGGAGCAAACAGGAUUAGAUACCCUGGUAGUCCACGCCCUAAACGAUGUCAACUGGUUGUUGGACGGCUUGCUGUUCAGUAACGAAGCUAACGCGUGA
RNAcentral lists this ribosomal RNA (474 nucleotides) under Aquabacterium sp. RNAcentral's name for it is "bacterial SSU rRNA". It matches the Rfam family "Bacterial small subunit ribosomal RNA", at positions 395 to 862 of the family's 1533-position model. Lineage: Bacteria; Pseudomonadati; Pseudomonadota; Betaproteobacteria; Burkholderiales; Sphaerotilaceae. The record is from RNAcentral.